This 438-nucleotide ribosomal RNA is filed under the name uncultured Leptolinea sp. Its description in RNAcentral is "bacterial SSU rRNA". It matches the Rfam family "Bacterial small subunit ribosomal RNA", at positions 931 to 1382 of the family's 1533-position model. Lineage: Bacteria; Bacillati; Chloroflexota; Anaerolineae; Anaerolineales; Anaerolineaceae. The record is from RNAcentral.
AGCGGAGCGUGUGGUUUAAUUCGAUGCUACACGAAGAACCUUACCAGGGUUUGACAUGCAAGUGGUAGGAAUCCGAAAGGUGACCGACCCUUCGGGGAGCUUGCACAGGUGCUGCAUGGCUGUCGUCAGCUCGUGUCGUGAGAUGUUCGGUUAAGUCCGCUAACGAGCGCAACCCUCGUCGUGUGUUAUACGUGUCACACGAUACUGCCGGUAUCAAGCCGGAGGAAGGUGGGGAUGAUGUCAAGUCAGCAUGGCCUUUAUAUCCUGGGCUACACACACGCUACAAUGGCAGAUACAAUAGGUUGCGAAACCGCGAGGUGGAGCCAAUCCUCAAAGUCUGUCUCAGUUCAGAUUGUAGGCUGCAACUCGCCUGCAUGAAGUUGGAGUUGCUAGUAAACGCAGGUCAGCUAUACUGCGUUGAAUACGUUCCCGGGGUUU